RNAcentral lists this ribosomal RNA (553 nucleotides) under Metschnikowia sp. (in: budding yeasts & allies). RNAcentral describes it as "LSU rRNA". It matches the Rfam family "Eukaryotic large subunit ribosomal RNA", at positions 38 to 667 of the family's 3401-position model. The record is from RNAcentral. Lineage: Eukaryota; Fungi; Ascomycota; Pichiomycetes; Serinales; Metschnikowiaceae.
GCAUAUCAAUAAGCGGAGGAAAAGAAACCAACAGGGAUUGCCUCAGUAACGGCGAGUGAAGCGGCAAAAGCUCAAAUUUGAAAUCCUCCGGGAAUUGUAAUUUGAAGGUUAGUUAAAAUAGGGUCCAAAUACUUUAAGUCCAUUGGAAAAUGGCGCCAUGGAGGGUGAUAGCCCCGUAAAAGUAUUAAGCCCUUCUUUUUUUUCUAUCCAAAGAGUCGAGUUGUUUGGGAAUGCAGCUCUAAGUGGGUGGUAAAUUCCAUCUAAAGCUAAAUAUUGGCGAGAGACCGAUAGCGAACAAGUACAGUGAUGGAAAGAUGAAAAGCACUUUGAAAAGAGAGUGAAAAAGUACGUGAAAUUGUUGAAAGGGAAGGGCUUGCAAGCAGACACAACCUCGGUUGGGCCAGCAUCGGAGUGGGGGGAGACAAAAACGAAAAGGAAUGUAACUCAUUGAGUAUUAUAUCCUUCUCUUAUAUCUCCACCCCCUUCCGAGGCCUGCGAUUCUUCAAGGAUGCUGGCGUAAUGGUUGCAAGUCGCCCGUCUUGAAACACGGACC